RNAcentral lists this ribosomal RNA (253 nucleotides) under uncultured bacterium. Its description in RNAcentral is "partial 16S ribosomal RNA". It matches the Rfam family "Bacterial small subunit ribosomal RNA", at positions 524 to 776 of the family's 1533-position model. The record is from RNAcentral.
UACGUAGGGCGCGAGCGUUAAUCGGAAUUACUGGGCGUAAAGCGUGCGCAGGCGGUUUUGUAAGUUUGUCGUGAAAGCCCCGGGCUCAACCUGGGAAUUGCGAUGAAGACUGCAAGGCUUGAAUCUGGCAGAGGGGGGUAGAAUUCCACGUGUAGCAGUGAAAUGCGUAGAGAUGUGGAGGAACACCGAUGGCGAAGGCAGCCCCCUGGGUCAAGAUUGACGCUCAUGCACGAAAGCGUGGGGAGCAAACAGG